UCAGAAGGAGUUUCAAGUUCAUCAUGUUCAACAGAAUCACUGCCACAAGCAAUAAUCUUGAAACAAGAAGAAGCUGUUGAUUUUCCCAUAUUUUUUUUUCUUCGUUUUUUUCUCUCAGUCACUGAUUGACCAGUCUUCUCUAGCCUUUUUUGCUCCAGUGUUGUAGUAGUAGUACUAGCACAUAUUCUAUUCUUCUUUUUUUCCUCUCAGUCACUGAUUGACCAGUCUUCUCUAGCCUUUUUUUGCUCCAGUGUUGUAGUAGUAGUAGAUAUUCUAUAGUUGUUGGAAAUUGUACCUAAUGAGCUGAUAAUAAUAAAAAAAGUUAAAAAAUAAAAAGAUAAAAAGUUUUUUUUAAGAACACGGACCUCAACACUCUCCUAAAAUCUAGCUGACUUCAGUAUUUUCAGGUCCGUAGUUU
RNAcentral lists this long non-coding RNA (418 nucleotides) under Nicotiana benthamiana. RNAcentral's name for it is "long non-coding RNA (NBEN_LNC038472)". Lineage: Eukaryota; Viridiplantae; Streptophyta; Magnoliopsida; Solanales; Solanaceae. The record is from RNAcentral.